CAAAGGACAAAAAAAUUGAUGAGAUUACACACAUUUUAAAGGAAAGAUGUAACAAGUGAAAAGUGAGAGCCAUUUGUUCAUGUGCUUGACGAAAAGUUCACAAGCAAUUUGACUAAUUCCCUUUACGGCAAAACCAAAAAAGAGAAUGAGAAAACAAGAAAAAUGGACACUAAAGUCAGAUACAAAGCAUGAGCAGAGGAGCAGAAAACGCUUAUCAAUAAAAGAAAUGCAACCAUUUAAUUCAAUUCCAGGGUGUUCAUGAAUCUAGAUACACCCACCAACUAUUCCAAGAGAUCUCAAGUAAUAUCAGCUUCCCCAUGUGUUUAGUUCAUCGAAAGAGUCACAUUAGUUCAGUGUCUACUCUUCCUAUAAUUUUUCUUGACAAACAGCAUCUAAGAUUAACUAGCUUUCAACAAACAGAAAUGCCGUGACUCCCAACUUGUCAAUAAUCGAGACAGAUAGAUACCCAUGCAUGAUUUUGUUACGGCAGCCUGAUCUAAAAAUCCACUUCGUGCGGCAAAAUUGGGUCCACAG
RNAcentral lists this long non-coding RNA (534 nucleotides) under Eucalyptus grandis. Its description in RNAcentral is "long non-coding RNA (EGRA_LNC007838)". Lineage: Eukaryota; Viridiplantae; Streptophyta; Magnoliopsida; Myrtales; Myrtaceae. The record is from RNAcentral.